AUCAGGUACCGAGUGCGUAUGGGCGGGUAGGCAUGGCGUUCCACUCCGGGGGCAGCAGUUCAAGCUAGCUGCGUAAGCUCGUAUUACCGUGGGCGCGUACGAUUUGACGGUAAUCUGAUCCGAGACUGCAUAUACCACUGUCUGAAGGUAACACAAGCUGAAGCUAACACAUUGGUGAACUAGUACAACAUCUGACACACACAUCACCCAUGGUACACCACUGUCUGAAGUCUGAACCUUCGGAAUAAUAUACUUCUCUGGUAUUUCUCUGCCUACUAAUUUUUCAUCUGCUAAUCUAUUGCUUCUGAUGUGUUUGCUUCUUAUUUUGUUGGUAAUUGUUUGCUCUAUAUGUGUAGGGAAUUGACUGCAAAUAUUUCCUCUGGCAUGAUGAUCCGCACACUCCAUUUGUGAAUCUGUUACUUGGUGAUUUAUGCGAUGUUGUGUAUCGACUGAAGGAACGACUGAGGAAUGAAAAUGAUUUGCUCAACGCCAGCUUGUCGAAGAACAAAAUGUUGGAUGCGUAUGUGUGUGAUUUGGAUGUCAAGCAUCAUGGAGAAGUUGAUGUCUUGAAGAAUAAGAUUCAGAAACUGCAGUUAUUCUUUGUGCUUGCUCUGUUCUGCUUUGUCAUUUCACACUUGGAAAUGAUUGUCCUGAAGAAGAAGCUAGUUUGUGAAGGAGUCAAGAAGAAGCUAGUUUGUGAAGGAGUCAAGAAGAAGAAGAAGAGGAAGAAGCUAGUUUGUGAAGGAGUCAUUUAUGUAUGUUGUUUUGCUUUGUGAGCUUUUAACCAAGAUUCAGAAUGUAUGCUGUUAAAAGGAUUCAGAAUUUGUACUGUAUCUUCUUUUGCAAAAUUCAGAAUUUGGUACAAUGCCUUUUGCAAGUGUUGUGAAAAGAUUCAGAAUUUGGUACAAUGCCUCUCGCAAGUGUUAUGAAAAGAUCUAGAAUUUGGUACAAUGCAAAAUCUCAGUUUUAUGUCUGAUCUUAUAUGUGUUGUGAUGUAUGCAACACUAUGUUUUAUCUACGAUGAACCAAAUAUACAAAUAUAUUGUUUGCUGUCAUGAAAAGAUCAUCUACAAUGAACCAAAUAUUAGAAAAAAAAUACAAAUAUAUUGUAUGUUGUUAUGAACAGCAUAAAAUAUGCAGUGAACCAAAU
This 1150-nucleotide long non-coding RNA is filed under the name Triticum aestivum (bread wheat). RNAcentral describes it as "long non-coding RNA (TAES_LNC003607)". Lineage: Eukaryota; Viridiplantae; Streptophyta; Magnoliopsida; Poales; Poaceae. The record is from RNAcentral.